ACUUAUAAAAACUUUUUGCUUUGAACUCUUAAUCUCACACACUUAUUGAGUUUUAUAGUGGAAAUGACAUUUUAAUAUCUAGUUUUUGGGCAUUAAAUGAGGGCCAUAAACUGUUCUAACUUGUUUUUUAGUAAUAAAAUUCUUACAUUGUAUCAGCCAGUGUUGAAUUCUUUCAUUUGUUUUACAAAACAAUUGAGAGUUGUUCUUAUAUUUAGUCGUUUGUUUCCAGUGCUUUCCUGAGCAACAAUAUGCACCUAGUGUCUGUCAAUUCUAUUCCAGCCUUUACUGUGUCAAUGCAAAAUUUUAUUCCAAUGACGACUGGGUAAUAGUCAUGUGUUUGCCUAAUUGUGAAAGAAGAACAGGUCAGUGUGAAACGACAUUAGAGGCUAUUAAAGAAAGGAGCGAAGUUGUAACAAUACAGCCACCUCAAACGCCACUAGCUGUUCCUUUUGAUUUUGAACUAAGGGUUGUGUUGGAGAGAGAAGUUACAACCUUAUAUGGAGAGUGUUAAUGUAAAAUAAAUGUUAGAUCCUAUGAGCUCCUAAUGUGGAAGCAUUUUCUUACCCCCAAAGACUUAUAGAGUCAUUCAUUGGGAAAAUAUUCAUACAUCCUAUUCCAUAAGAAAAAUUAUUCAUUUUUGUAA
Medicago truncatula (barrel medic) is the source of this 643-nucleotide long non-coding RNA. RefSeq lists it as uncharacterized. The transcript is spliced from 2 exons. The record is from RefSeq and is a predicted model, not a curated record. Lineage: Eukaryota; Viridiplantae; Streptophyta; Magnoliopsida; Fabales; Fabaceae.